AAAUACCCCACUUCUUUUGUAGCAUUUAAAAAUGUACACUCUGAACCUAACCACCUGGGCUUCGUUCCAGAUUUGCACAUUCUAGCUGUGUGAACAAGGACAAUUUGCAUAACCUCCUCAUGCAGCAGCUUUCUCAUCAGCACGUUGAGGAUAAUGGCAUCUGCAGCACAUCACAAAAUGUCUAUCAAUUCCCCACCCCAACAUGACUUUCAAGAUUCUUCCAUCAGCACGUGGAAUAAAUAUACUCACCUGUUAAACCUGGACUAUCCUUGUGAUUUGCUCUGAACAAUAGAAUAACAUGUUUCCACUAUCUCUUUAGCAAUUUGACUCUUUUGCUGUCACGUGAAUAAACUUGAGCUAGCCUGCUGGAAGAUAAAGUGACCAUAGAGACUAGAGACAAGCCUUCCAAGCUGAAGCCAUUAUAAACCAACUAACCUGAGAGCUGACUGCAGAUGUAUGAGUGAGCCCAGCCAAGGCCAGAAGACUCACCAGCUAUAUUUUGCCAAAUUUGUAACAUAAAGAAUUGUGAGGCAAAUAAAUUACUAUUAUAUUAAGCCAC
Long non-coding RNA from Galeopterus variegatus (Sunda flying lemur), 559 nucleotides. RefSeq lists it as uncharacterized. NCBI's taxonomy places the organism in Eukaryota, Metazoa, Chordata, Mammalia, Dermoptera, Cynocephalidae. The transcript has 2 exons. The record is from RefSeq and is a predicted model, not a curated record.